Molecule: ribosomal RNA, 253 nt
Filed under: uncultured bacterium
Lineage: Bacteria
Description: partial 16S ribosomal RNA
Rfam family: Bacterial small subunit ribosomal RNA
Source: RNAcentral
UACGGAGGGUGCAAGCGUUAUCCGGAUUCACUGGGUUUAAAGGGUGCGUAGGUGGCUAUUUAAGUCAGUGGUGAAAGCCUGCAGCUUAACUGUAGGACUGCCAUUGAUACUGAAUAGCUUGAGUACUGAUGAGGUAGGCGGAAUUGAUAGUGUAGCGGUGAAAUGCAUAGAUAUUAUCAAGAACACCGAUUGCGAAGGCAGCUUACUAAGGAGUUACUGACACUGAGGCACGAAAGCGUGGGGAUCAAACAGG